CUGCGCUGAUCCUUCUUUGAUGGUUGAUCAGGUGCCUCCAUCUUCUUGAUUUGGACUCUUCCAAAGAUGGAAAGUAGAAGGAGGAGUUUCAGAUCUGAGACGCUCUCAGAAAACUUAAGAUGGAGGGAGGAAAGAUAUGAAAACAAACAACCCUAGAAGAAGACCCUCUUCUUCUUCUUGUUUCUCUCUCUAGACACCC
This 199-nucleotide long non-coding RNA is filed under the name Elaeis guineensis (African oil palm). RNAcentral describes it as "long non-coding RNA (EGUI_LNC066831)". The record is from RNAcentral. Lineage: Eukaryota; Viridiplantae; Streptophyta; Magnoliopsida; Arecales; Arecaceae.